Molecule: RNA transcript, 3791 nt
Organism: Loxodonta africana (African savanna elephant)
Lineage: Eukaryota; Metazoa; Chordata; Mammalia; Proboscidea; Elephantidae
Gene name: endogenous retrovirus group K member 19 Env polyprotein-like
Exons: 2
Source: RefSeq, a predicted model, not a curated record
GGAGCCAGGCUGCAAGGGCGGCCCCUCUGCACCCACUGCCCCCAGCAUAAACAUCAAAGAAUCCCUGAAAAGUCAGGAGGAGCCAGGCUGCAAGGGCGGCCCCUCUGCACCCACUGCCCCCAGCAUAAACAUCGAAGAAUUCCUGAAAAGUCAGGAAUAUCUCUGUCAUCUGUGUUCUGUUUCUGUUUCAUUUUCAGCCUGUGUAUAGCAGAAUGUAUAAGCAUAAAAUUCCAUUAUAGAUUUAGGGACCUUUGGAGGGGGGCGUCCUACUCAUAAUCCCCUGGUAAAAUCCCGGGCAGGGACAGCCCGUGUAUUACCUGAGGAUCAACAUGAAGCUGUCUUAGGGGGAAAACAAAUAGCUCGACUAUGGAAAACUAAAACAGGAUGGUGGAAUCCUGGUAUUUACCGAGGCCCUUUUGUGAUUAAACCACCACCCACACAUGAUCCCAUAAAAGUGGAAAAACAAAAGGCAGUGAGUUCUCUCAGCCAAUUUCUCAGCCAAUUACAGGUCAACCUUCUCGUCUACCCCGCUCACUGCUGUGCUUGACUGGUCUUUGGGUAUAGAGAUUGGGCUAAUUGUCCUUGGCAUAAUCGUGGACAAUAUGACGUAACCCAAAGUGGCUGGACUUCAAGAACUUGACCACCCUGGACAAGAUGGACAAAGCCUAUGUGGCAAUGGUUUUGCAAAAAGAUUAAUUGUUAUAAAAACUGUGGAAGGUAUUGCAAGAUUAAGCAUAAGUGUAAAGCAGUGUGAAGUCAAUUGUUACUCUAAAUCAACUAAACAAAAGCUCAUUGUAUUUGUGUGCGCACGCAGAACUGUACUAUGUGUCACUUGGAAAAUUAUGUCUCUGGGAAAUGAUGUUUAUGAUUAUAUCUUGUACUGCCCCUUUAUUGAUCAUGCGAUGUUAUGCUUUUGUAAGCUUAUGAUAUAAAAGACCAUGUAAAAAAUAAAGAGCAGAGCCUUCUUCUUCUGCAGAAUGAAAAUAUAAGACACUCUACCGCUCGUUCUUUUUUCGCCGAACUCUACCCCUCCUCUGGUAACCCUGUUCAUUGCUGAGGCUGGCCCCCGGCAACUGGCGCCCGAACAGGGACCUGAAGGUAAGCAACGUCGUCUCGGGGUAGAUAGGGCUGUUGCCUAGAGCUAAAUAAGAAAGGAGAAAAGCUCCCUUUAGCCACCCCGUCGUUAGAGAGGACGGGGAUAGGAAAGGAAAGAUAGGCAAAACAUAUGAGAAGUUGUUAGACCCCUGUAUAAGCAAGAGAAUACUAGAAAAACACUAUGGGACAAACAUCCUCUGCAGAAAGGAAACUGUUUAUUGAUAUCAUCACGUGUAUGCUCAAAAAAAGGGGAACCGCAGUGACUAGAAGCCAAGUAGCUCGGUUUUUACAUUUUGUUCAGGAACAAUGCCCCUGGUUCCCAGAGGGAGGCUCAGUUAAUUUGGACAUAUGGAAAGCUGUGGGAGAACAGCUACAAAAAUAUUAUACUAGAUGUGGUCCUGAGGGGGUGCCUGUUGAUGCUUUUGCAUUAUGGAUGCUUAUCAGAGAUACUCUUGACCCAACUCCCGAUUCUGUUAAAGCAUUCCAAGUACUAGACAAUCCUGACUCUGACCCCACUUUAGAGGAGGAAGAAACACCUCUGCUUCAGAAACAUCCUUCUGUAGUGUCUACCCCUUCAGCCCCCUCCUUUGUUGGUCUAUCUAAUCCAAUCACGAAUGACACUCUGAGCCCGGAGGAGCAAGUCGAUCUAGAGGAGGAGGCUGCUAGAUAUUAUCAAGAUGAGGAUAUUGUUCUUCCUUUACGAAAGUUGCAAAUUGAGUCACAGCCUCCAAAGUAUGAGGUUAAAUCAUUGACCUUUACUCCUCGAAAUAGAGUACCUUUACCUCCCCCACCUCCUUCUCUGGCAGGAAAAUCAAAAAUCAAAGCAGCCUUAAAACAAGGCUUGUCUGAGGGGGACGUUACCCUCCCUUUGUGCUUUCCAGUACAUUAUAGCGGGGAAUUUGAUGAGGAUGCAGAAUGGACUCCUCUUUCUUAUAAAUUCCUCAAGGAGGUUAAAAAUGCCUGCAAAGAAUAUGGACCCCUGUCUCCAUACACAUUGUCGUUAAUAGAUAUUCUGUCAACCAGCUGGAUGACUCCUUAUGAUUGGUAUCAGCUGGCAAAAACCUGCUUACCAGGGGGUAGUUUCUUGUUAUGGAAAAUGGAAAAGACCUGACCCAUUAAUCUCUUGUGGAAGAGGCUAUGCUUGUGUUUUCCCACAGGACGAAACUUCCCCUUUGUGGAUACCCGACAGACUCAUCAGACAUGCAAGACCCAAAAACCACCAAAAUUCCUCCAACACUUCCCCCCUCACUGCUCACAAACCUAACACCUCCCACGACUCUUCUGAGAAAUCUGUCUCUUGAAAAUGCUCCAUCUACACCCCCACCUUCGCCUGUCUCUAGUUCUCCCUCCUCUUCAUCUUCUACUCCACCCCUUCUCACUGACUUUAUACAACCCUCUACAAACCUCAACAACUCUUCAUCUCGAGACAAAGUGCGGUGGAGAAGCCGGAGACAUACUCCCUAUUCAAGAACCCAUCAAACCAUUGCGGCUGAGCCCCCAACUUGGGGCCAACUCAAAAAACUUACUCAUCUGGCUCACAUCUUAACCGUGGAUCAACAUAUUCCCGUAAAUGCGGGUACUCUUUUUGUGGCAAUGCUCGCUAUCAUUUCCUGUCAGUCAUCUUCCGAAUCUUAAAUCAAGCUAUCCAAAAGGUGGCUUCAGAUCUUCAUCUAGCGAAAUUAAAAAAUAAAAAAGGGGGAGAUGCUGGGAGCCAGGCUGCAAGGGCGGCCCCUCUGCACCCACUGCCCCCAGCAUAAACAUCAAAGAAUCCCUGAAAAGUCAGGAGGAGCCAGGCUGCAAGGGCGGCCCCUCUGCACCCACUGCCCCCAGCAUAAACAUCGAAGAAUUCCUGAAAAGUCAGGAAUAUCUCUGUCAUCUGUGUUCUGUUUCUGUUUCAUUUUCAGCCUGUGUAUAGCAGAAUGUAUAAGCAUAAAAUUCCAUUAUAGAUUUAGGGACCUUUGGAGGGGGGCGUCCUACUCAUAAUCCCCUGGUAAAAUCCCGGGCAGGGACAGCCCGUGUAUUACCUGAGGAUCAACAUGAAGCUGUCUUAGGGGGAAAACAAAUAGCUCGACUAUGGAAAACUAAAACAGGAUGGUGGAAUCCUGGUAUUUACCGAGGCCCUUUUGUGAUUAAACCACCACCCACACAUGAUCCCAUAAAAGUGGAAAAACAAAAGGCAGUGAGUUCUCUCAGCCAAUUUCUCAGCCAAUUACAGGUCAACCUUCUCGUCUACCCCGCUCACUGCUGUGCUUGACUGGUCUUUGGGUAUAGAGAUUGGGCUAAUUGUCCUUGGCAUAAUCGUGGACAAUAUGACGUAACCCAAAGUGGCUGGACUUCAAGAACUUGACCACCCUGGACAAGAUGGACAAAGCCUAUGUGGCAAUGGUUUUGCAAAAAGAUUAAUUGUUAUAAAAACUGUGGAAGGUAUUGCAAGAUUAAGCAUAAGUGUAAAGCAGUGUGAAGUCAAUUGUUACUCUAAAUCAACUAAACAAAAGCUCAUUGUAUUUGUGUGCGCACGCAGAACUGUACUAUGUGUCACUUGGAAAAUUAUGUCUCUGGGAAAUGAUGUUUAUGAUUAUAUCUUGUACUGCCCCUUUAUUGAUCAUGCGAUGUUAUGCUUUUGUAAGCUUAUGAUAUAAAAGACCAUGUAAAAAAUAAAGAGCAGAGCCUUCUUCUUCUGCAGAAUGAAAAUAUAA